CCUACGGGGGACUGCAGUGGGGAAUAUUGCACAAUGGGGGAAACCCUGAUGCAGCGACGCCGCGUGAGCGAUGAAGUAUUUCGGUAUGUAAAGCUCUAUCAGCAGGGAAGAAAAUGACGGUACCUGACUAAUAAGCCCCGGCUAACUACGUGCCAGCAGCCGCGGUAAUACGUAGGGGGCAAGCGUUAUCCGGAUGUACUGGGUGUAAAGGUAGCGUAGACGGCUGUGCAAGCCAGAUGUGAAAGCCCGGGGCUCAACCACGGGACUGCAUUUGGAACUGUGCUGCUAGAGUGUCGGAGAGGCAGGCGGAAUUCCUGGUGUAGCGGUGAAAUGCGUAGAUAUUAGGAGGAACACCAGUGGCGAAGGCGGCCUGCUGGACGAUGACUGACGUUGAGGCUCGAAAGCGUGGGGAGCAAACAGGAUUAGAUACCCCAGUAGUC
RNAcentral lists this ribosomal RNA (440 nucleotides) under uncultured bacterium. RNAcentral's name for it is "partial 16S ribosomal RNA". It matches the Rfam family "Bacterial small subunit ribosomal RNA", at positions 338 to 795 of the family's 1533-position model. The record is from RNAcentral.